Molecule: ribosomal RNA, 495 nt
Filed under: uncultured bacterium
Lineage: Bacteria
Description: partial 16S ribosomal RNA
Rfam family: Bacterial small subunit ribosomal RNA
Source: RNAcentral
GAUGAACGCUGGCGGCGUGCCUAAUACAUGCAAGUAGAACGCUGAAGGAGGAGCUUGCUCUUCUGGAUGAGUUGCGAACGGGUGAGUAACGCGUAGGUAACCUGCCUGGUAGCGGGGGAUAACUAUUGGAAACGAUAGCUAAUACCGCAUGACAACAGUUAUUGCAUGAUAACUGUUUAAAAGGGGCAACUGCUCCACUACCAGAUGGACCUGCGUUGUAUUAGCUAGUUGGUGAGGUAACGGCUCACCAAGGCGACGAUACAUAGCCGACCUGGGAGGGUGAUCGGCCACACGGGGACUGAGACACGGCCCAGACUCCUACGGGAGGCAGCAGUAGGGAAGCUUCGGCAAUGGACGGAAGUCUGACCGAGCAACGCCGCGGGAGUGAAGAAGGUUUUCGGAUCGUAAAGCUCUGUUGUAAGAGAAGAACGAGUGUGAGAGUGGAAAGUUCACACUGUGACGGUAUCUUACCAGAAAGGGACCGCUAACUACGUG